GGUGGAGUGCCUGAAAAAAGGGCAAUUUUGAUAGAAUUGAGCAUGCAGGUAGUCCUGUCUCCACUU
RNAcentral lists this transfer RNA (66 nucleotides) under Neoplocaederus obesus. Its description in RNAcentral is "tRNA-Ile". The record is from RNAcentral. Lineage: Eukaryota; Metazoa; Arthropoda; Insecta; Coleoptera; Cerambycidae.